RNAcentral lists this ribosomal RNA (500 nucleotides) under uncultured bacterium. Its description in RNAcentral is "partial 16S ribosomal RNA". It matches the Rfam family "Bacterial small subunit ribosomal RNA", at positions 28 to 523 of the family's 1533-position model. The record is from RNAcentral.
GACGAACGCUGGCGGCGUGCCUAAUACAUGCAAGUCGAGCGAGACUCUUCGGAGUCUAGCGGCGGACGGGUGAGUAACACGUGGGCAACCUGCCUGUAAGACUGGGAUAACACCGGGAAACCGGUGCUAAUACCGGAUAAUCCUUUUCCUCUCAUGAGGAAAAGCUGAAAGUCGGUUUCGGCUGACACUUACAGAUGGGCCCGCGGCGCAUUAGCUAGUUGGUGAGGAAACGGCUCACCAAGGCGACGGUGCGUAGCCGACCUGAGAGGGUGAGCGGCCACGCUGGGACUGAGAAACGGCCCAGACUCCUACGGGAGGCAGCAGUAGGGGAUCUUCCACAAUGGACGAAAGUCUGAUGGGGCAGCGCCGCGUGAGCGAUGAGGGCCUUCGGGUCGUAAAGCUCUGUUGUUAGGGAAGAACAAGUAUCGGAGUAACUGCCGGUACCUUGACGGUACCUAACCAGAAAGCCACGGCUAACUACGUGCCAGCAGCCGCCGUAA